RNAcentral lists this ribosomal RNA (418 nucleotides) under uncultured bacterium. RNAcentral describes it as "bacterial SSU rRNA". It matches the Rfam family "Bacterial small subunit ribosomal RNA", at positions 361 to 776 of the family's 1533-position model. The record is from RNAcentral.
AUAUUGGUCAAUGGACGCAAGUCUGAACCAGCCAUGCCGCGUGGAGGAUGAAGGUCCUCUGGAUUGUAAACUUCUUUUAUUUGGGAAGAAAUCCAUAUUUUCUAAUGUGGUUGACGGUACCAGAUGAAUAAGCACCGGCUAACUCCGUUCCAGCAGCCGCGGUAAUACGGAGGGUGCAAGCGUUAUCCGGAUUCACUGGGUUUAAAGGGUGCGUAGGCGGGUUGGUAAGUCCGUGGUGAAAUCCCCAAGCUUAACUUGGGAACUGCCGUGGAUACUAUCAAUCUUGAAUAUCGUGGAGGUAAGCGGAAUAUGUCAUGUAGCGGUGAAAUGCUUAGAUAUGACAUAGAACACCAAUUGCGUAGGCAGCUUACUACACGAUCAUUGACGCUGAGGCACGAAAGCGUGGGGAGCAAACAGG